Grus americana (Whooping crane) is the source of this 2342-nucleotide long non-coding RNA. RefSeq lists it as uncharacterized. The transcript is spliced from 3 exons. NCBI's taxonomy places the organism in Eukaryota, Metazoa, Chordata, Aves, Gruiformes, Gruidae. The record is from RefSeq and is a predicted model, not a curated record.
GCCUCCUCCGCCUCCUCCUCCCCAGCAGCGACGGUUACUGACGGGCUGGGUGUGCGGCACGGCUCCUUCACACAGUGCCCGGCCCCAGCCCCCGGCCCCCGCCUCCCUCCCUCGCCGCCCGCCUCCUGCUGCCGGCCCGAGCCGCGCUCGCUCGGCUCUGAGGGAACCCGGGAGCUGCCGCCGCGGCCGCCAGCCUCCCCGCGGCAGCCACUAGGGGAGGAGGCAGCGCGCCUGCGCCACCGUCGCCGCCGGGCGCGGGGAGCUGCCCGCCGAGGGGGUGACGGGGCGGGGGGAGGCCUUGCCGCCGCUGCCGGUCCCGGCUAAACGGGUCCCCAGGCCGGCUGCGGGCCGCCUCAGUGCGCAGUUGCUAUACUGCGCAGGGGGAAGAGAAUUGCUUUAUGAGUGUACCAUCAGGACCGAUUGCAAGGAUUUCGGUUCUCCUCUUAAACUACGAAAACUUUGCUCAUGGCUUUCUCGUUACUUGGGUGUUGUGGACCCCUACAUCCUCUGUACCAAAUGUCAGGGUAUGCCCCUCUCUGCAAAGCCUUGCACUUAUCUUUUUUCUGUUACUUCACUUGCAUUGCUAAUCUUACCAAGCUUAAGUUUUUUUCACUAUGCUGCAGCACCUUCCUCUGCUGUUUCUUUUGGAUGGAACAUGCUGCCACCAUCCUGCUCCAAAAGCACCAAGUCUGAAGUCCUGUAAGCCCCAGUGGUGGAGGAUCCCUGUGGAAAGCCCAAGACGAUGCAUCUUGCCAUUAACAUCUGUAAAAAUCCACAAAAGAGUUUUAACUAAAACGUGGCCUGAAGAAAGUUAAUGAAGUCAUUAGUAGUUGCAUCACAAAUGAAAACACUAUGGAUGAUUUUGGUCUUAUCCUUCAGGCCUUGAUGAAUCAUGAAAAUGACAGAAAGUUAAUUUUGGGUUGUUUUUUUUUAAGGGAGCAGUAGCUGUAAGUAAAAGGAGAAAAAUCAAGAACAAAAUUAAAUAAUGGAAAGCUGAUGACAAGAGCUUCUACUGGUAGUGACCAGUCUCUUGUAAACUGAAAUUUUCUUGCAUCUUAAUGGACCUUUUGACCUAAUUUACAGAGUUUCUUGUUAAUUAACUUUUUUAGAAAGGUCAAACCUUUUUUUCUGCAAAGAUAAUGUACUUCAACUAAGGAGUCUUUUAUCAUCUACCGUAGGAAUACAGCAACAUAAAAUUCAGGUUUUUUGAAUAUCAACAAAUUAAUAAAUCACGAGCAGUAAGCCUGGAGUACUUCAUACCCCUUUGCCCUGUCCUCACUUUUCAAUGACAGUUAAAGAAUGAUAUAAAGAAUUCCUUUUUGUGUUUGUCUGUUUGUCAGGACCAGUGCAAAUAAUCACAUAGGCUUAUGAAAGCAGACAGGUUAUCUAUAAGCAGGCUCAUCCACUUCCAGUUUGGAGAUGAGUAUAGUUUCAAACAGAAAGAAAAUGAUGUUCUGAAAAUCCACAUGGACCUCUUAAUUGUGGGAGAAGUGCGAGAAGAAUGCUCCAUGUAAAAUGAGCAUGCCACAUCUAGAUAAAAAUUUCUAUUUCAAUAUCAAAAAUGCUUAUUAUGCAGCUUAUUACUUCUGAAAAUUGUUGCACCUCUUGAUCGAUCAGGUCAAGAGUUACAUGAAGCCUUACAUGCUUUACAUACAGCACACCUCAAAUGGGAAUGACACUGCAGGAAUAUUUACAUUUUCAAAGCAUUCUUCAUAUUUGAAUGACAGCUGAAUGAACCAUCCCUUAAAAAAAGAAAGAAAGAAAACAGACAACACUUCUUCAUUAAAUUAACAUGAUAAGAAAUAUUGAAGGAACGUCUAGCAAACUAUAAUGAUCAUAGGACUUGCAAUAAUAGGUUGUGGGGGCAAAAAAACCCUACCACUCUCUUAUUUUGGAAUUUUCCCUGACCGAGUACUAGGAUCCAUUCCAUUUCAUGAUUUUUUCAUGCAAACUACAUAAAAUACUUGUAAAAACUGAGUAAUUUCCAUAACAGAAUUUUGGCAAAUUAAAUCAAAACAGGUUGCUAUGACAGUUCCUACAAAUAUUUCUAUUUUAGCUUUAUUUUGUGUUAUAAAUAUGUCAAGAUGAAGCCAUUUCUGUCAAAACAGAAAUUUUUCCUCUUGGGAAAAUUUUCCAGGCAUUUUUUCAAUGCCCUAAUUUUCAGUAUCCAUCAAAGUCAAGACGAAGGCUAAUUUCAAAUGCUCUAACUUACAUCUGCAUAAUCAUAAACCCACGAGACAUAGCUUUAGUCUUAUAAAUGAGUAAUGUCAUUAGAUACAGUAUUGUUAGUUUAAUUGACUUUGUUUACUGCUCUGUAUAACAAGUGACUGAAAAAUAAAUGA